Molecule: transfer RNA, 64 nt
Filed under: uncultured eukaryote
Lineage: Eukaryota
Rfam family: tRNA
About the family: Transfer RNA (tRNA) molecules are approximately 80 nucleotides in length.
Source: RNAcentral
UAUAGUUCAACCAGGUAGAACAUUUUGCUCAUAACAAAAAUGUUGCAGGUUCAAAUCCUUCUAG